RNAcentral lists this ribosomal RNA (400 nucleotides) under uncultured bacterium. RNAcentral describes it as "bacterial SSU rRNA". It matches the Rfam family "Bacterial small subunit ribosomal RNA", at positions 355 to 772 of the family's 1533-position model. The record is from RNAcentral.
UUAGGAAUAUUGGACAAUGGGCGCAAGCCUGAUCCAGCCAUGCCGCGUGAGUGAUGAAGGCCUUCGGGUUGUAAAGCUCUUUAGCCGAUGAUUAUAAUGACUGUAGUCGGAAAAUAAGCCCCGGCUAACUUCGUGCCAGCAGCCGCGGUAAUACGAAGGGGGCGAGCGUUAUUCGGAAUCACUGGGCGUAAAGCGUGCGUAGGCGGUUUUGUAAGUUGGAAGUGAAAGCCCAGGGCUCAACCUUGGAAUUGCUUUCAAAACUACAAGACUUGAAUUCGGGAGAGGAUAGCGGAAUUGUCAGUGUAGCAGUGAAAUGCGUAGAUAUUGACAGGAACACCAGUGGCGUAAGCGGCUAUCUGGACCGACAUUGACGCUGAGGCACGAAAGCGUGGGGAUCAAA